Molecule: unclassified non-coding RNA, 200 nt
Filed under: uncultured fungus
Lineage: Eukaryota; Fungi
Description: sequence contains ITS1
Source: RNAcentral
UUGAUUCAAUUUGUUUUUACUCAGACGCCACAGUGAGCAGGGUUCGAUGGUCCUCUGGCGGGCGCUCUCCAGCCGGAGCCGGCGGCGCGUAGGCACCCGGCCCGCCAAAGCAACAGUGUUAGGUUAACAAAGGGUGGGAGUAGGCGCCCAGAGGGCACCGGUACUCUGUAAUGAUCCUUCCGCAGGUUCACCUACGGAAA